UAAAGUUUGAUGUGUUACUAG
RNAcentral lists this non-coding RNA (21 nucleotides) under Arabidopsis thaliana (thale cress). Lineage: Eukaryota; Viridiplantae; Streptophyta; Magnoliopsida; Brassicales; Brassicaceae. The record is from RNAcentral.